GACCGAACUAGUUAGACUUGUUAAGUGUUUAUAUAGGUUAUAAACACUAAUGUGGCUAUGUGGUAAUGUGUCUAGGAGAAGUUUGACUGUAAAAUACAGUGUUACGUGUUAUAAAUGAUUGUGCUAAUUGUAAGACCGAUAUUGUGAUUAUAGGUCUUUCAAACGCAGUUAAUUAUAUUGUGUAACUGUAAUCAACGCGGAAGGCAAGUUUCAUAACUCAACCUUGAGUUAUAUUUAUUCAAUUAUUAUAAUGGUUAAUUAUUGCUAAUUAUACCAUGUCCAGGGAAUUUAUUGUUGAUUAUUCGCAGUUAGUGCAUGAUUAAUAAUUCAAAUUGAAUUACUGAUUCGGAGAAUAUACAUUUGUAGAAUAACUGUUGUUGGAUAUUCAUAUUCGUAGAAGAUAGAAUUGACAAUACAGAUAAUUCCUGUUCAUUGUCAAAUUAUGUUGAGAAAUGUCUUAGCUAAUUAUUCUGGCUAGACGAACAUUUGUUAGAACUUGAUAAAUUCGAGAAAAGAAUUCAAUUGUUAUUGGUAGAUCGAUGCCAAUUAUUUCGGCUAGAUCGAUAAGUAAUAGAAAUUGAAAUCAUUGCGUUUCGUUGUUCAAUCAAAUUUUGAUUCAAAGACUGAGAAGAACAACCUUUUAUAUAAAGGGAAUAUUUUAGGUCAUAUAUUCGACCAUUGCACACUGUUAAGUAUUAUGCAUAAUAUAGGGUACAAGGAGUUGGCCGGCUCUAAGUACUUGCAGAGGGGUAUGAUUUAAUCUUUAUGGUUAUCUGAUACUCCUGCGUAUGUAUCAAAGUAAAUCUUUGAUAGAUACCCGAGAAAAUAAGUUCUAGAUCUAGUGUGAUCGCUCAGCAUAAAUCUGGAAAACAUUCCACUUUGUUAUUGCGUAGAAUUGUUUCUUGAUUAUUCAAUAGAAUAUCGUAGAAACUUUGAAAGCGUUGUACUCUUUCAUUAUUAGAUUAUUGUGUUGCCUAUAAUACUAGAAGACUUGUUAUUGAUUAACAAUUUGUUCAACUAUUUCAAAGUUCACCAAACUUUGGUUUCAUUCUAUCAAAAUAGAUAGUCCGUUCUUAUUGAUUCGUAUACAUUUAUUGUAUGUCUUAACUUGCGGGGCAAACUUGUUGCUCACCCUUGCUAUAAAUAAAACAUUUUAGUUAGGAUCGAAGAGGCCAGUGGAGCGAAGAAGAACAAAGGCAAAGGCAAUGAACAAUAUUAUUAUUAUGUUGUAUUGUAAACCCUUUUUGUUUAUCUAAGGCGUAUGUUUGUAAUUUUAAGGUUAGCAAACCUGGGACUUAUGUAUUAACAACAUAUGUUAAUGACUUAUGUAUUCCUAUUUAUAUAUGAAUGAGUAGUUAAAUGAUAUUAUAUUAUGGAUCGUGAACACCAAACUCGGGGGUCAGGUAACCUGGAUUUGGGGGUGUCACAGGUUGGUAUCAAAGCUGUAGUGACCAAUGUGUCACCAGUUAGUAGAAGAGCUGUAGGUUAUAAACCUUAAGUGGGGUGGGGGAAAACCCUAGGAUUAUAAUCAUACACGAGAUAGAGAAAACUCAUUUAGAGUUCUAAGUGAGGGAUUGCCAAAGUGAAUCAAUAGUGAGAUAAAUGUACAAAUAGUGUGAGAAGUUUGUACUGGUGAAGUAUUAAUCAAGUUAUUUAAAUUGAUUGUAGGAUGUCUGGAGAAGAUGAAAUGAGUGCAGAGAUGCUAGCGGCUGUUGCACCAAUGCCAGAAGCCGUGGUGCCAGCGCAAAGUGAAUCGGUUGAGAAGGUUGAAGAAGAUGAACCAAUGGUCAAUCUGGGGAGCGAUCAUGACGAUUAUCCCGAGAUGUAUCUGAGUGGAGAUGAGGAGGCAGAGUCUGAGCCUGUGGCGACCCCAAAUCCGGAUACUUGAAACCCGAACUCGGUUCUCCACGAUAC
This 1914-nucleotide long non-coding RNA is filed under the name Panax ginseng (ginseng). RNAcentral's name for it is "long non-coding RNA (PGIN_LNC008711)". Lineage: Eukaryota; Viridiplantae; Streptophyta; Magnoliopsida; Apiales; Araliaceae. The record is from RNAcentral.